Molecule: transfer RNA, 71 nt
Filed under: Cordylochernes scorpioides
Lineage: Eukaryota; Metazoa; Arthropoda; Arachnida; Pseudoscorpiones; Chernetidae
Description: tRNA-Gly
Rfam family: tRNA
About the family: Transfer RNA (tRNA) molecules are approximately 80 nucleotides in length. Their secondary structure includes four short double-helical elements and three loops (D, anti-codon, and T loops). Further hydrogen bonds mediate the characteristic L-shaped molecular structure. tRNAs have two regions of fundamental functional importance: the anti-codon, which is responsible for specific mRNA codon recognition, and the 3' end, to which the tRNAs corresponding amino acid is attached (by aminoacyl-tRNA synthetases). tRNAs cope with the degeneracy of the genetic code in two manners: having more than one tRNA (with a specific anti-codon) for a particular amino acid; and 'wobble' base-pairing, i.e. permitting non-standard base-pairing at the 3rd anti-codon position.
Source: RNAcentral
CCAUCGGUGGUUCAGUGGUAGAAUACUCGCCUGCCACGCGGGCGGACCGGGUUCGAUUCCCGGCCGAUGCA